ACAGCCUGAGGACCGGAAAACCUGCCGCCGGCCCGCCUUGACAUAUUUUUUUAUCAAGGAAACAAGGUGGAUGUGGGGAACGCAGUCCCACCAGGCUGU
RNAcentral lists this non-coding RNA (99 nucleotides) under unclassified sequences. Its description in RNAcentral is "skipping-rope RNA". It matches the Rfam family "skipping-rope RNA". Rfam says of the family: Firmicutes, Fusobacteria, AlphaProteobacteria, Spirochaetes. The record is from Rfam by way of RNAcentral.